UACAGAGGGUGCAAGCGUUAAUCGGAAUUACUGGGCGUAAAGCGUGCGUAGACGGUUAUGUAAGUCAGAUGUGAAAGCCCCGGGCUCAACCUGGGAAUUGCAUUUGAGACUGUGUAGCUAGGGUGCGGAAGAGGGAAGCGGAAUUUCCGGUGUAGCGGUGAAAUGCGUAGAUAUCAAGUGGAACACCAGUGGCGAAGGCGAGUCCCUGGACAACUCCUGACACUGAGGCACGAAAGCUAGGGGAGCAAACAGG
RNAcentral lists this ribosomal RNA (253 nucleotides) under uncultured prokaryote. Its description in RNAcentral is "partial 16S ribosomal RNA". It matches the Rfam family "Bacterial small subunit ribosomal RNA", at positions 524 to 776 of the family's 1533-position model. The record is from RNAcentral.